UCCACCCUCUUGACCUAGGGCAGCAUUACCUCCUCCAGGCACUUGAUGUAGACCUCUGUGUUCUGUGUGGGAACAUGAAUGGCGGCAUAAUGUCGCCAUCACUAGUGAUCACUCCAAACACCAGGAUGUUAACUGGAUGUUUGAUUUUUAUCACUCUCUGUACAUCUUUUGAGGAUAUAGCAAGCUAACAGCCAUAAGAGAGAGGAAGGAGAAGAGUAAUGGCAGAAAUUAACAAGAAGGAUAUGGGGAAGACAAAGUGGUGAUGGGAUAGGGAGGUUUGGUGGUCAGUCUGUCUUCCAUACCAGAAUUGAUUGGAUUGUUUGUUAGGAUCCAAGAUAGUUCUUAUCGGGAGUUACACAGGUUUAUUUUUGUGAGAGGGCAUUAGGGGGACUAACAGUAUUAGAAAUGGGGGUAACAGGAGGUAAAGGAAAACGUAGUAUGUUGUGAGGGUUAUUAAGAAAAGUUAAGGAAGAGAGUAGGAAGCUUGUGUAAGAGAUGACACAAUGCUACCUGAGUAAAAUGGUGGACGAAGGAAAGACAAAAUGGAAGGGAGUAAUAAGGGAAGGGGAAGACGGUGUCUGAGGGUUAGUGAGAGAAUGAGUUAAGGAUAAGGCUUUUGUUAUGGUUUUGAGAACUAUAAUAAAUAGAAGGAUGCUGAGAAGUGAUCCCUCAUGUACCCCAAACUGUGCACUAAAUUCAUCACUGAGCUAUGCCCACUUAUAGGCAUUCUCCAGAUCAAAAAUGCUAAGUGUAGAGGCUUAUUCCUGACCACGUAUUUCCCUGGCAGUUGUCUCACAACAAAUACAACAUUAGUAAUGUCUUUUCAAGAGACAGAACCAAGCUGC
Octopus sinensis (East Asian common octopus) is the source of this 845-nucleotide long non-coding RNA. RefSeq lists it as uncharacterized. Lineage: Eukaryota; Metazoa; Mollusca; Cephalopoda; Octopoda; Octopodidae. The transcript is spliced from 3 exons. The record is from RefSeq and is a predicted model, not a curated record.